AGUGAACGCUGGCGGCGUGACUUAUACCUGUAAGUUGAAGGAAGAGGCGCACGGGUGAGUAAUAUAUAUCUAAUCUGCCCCCUGCUGGAGGCUAACAGGUAGAAAUGACUGCUAAUACUCCAUACCAAGGGAGGAGACUAUAUCGUAUUAGCUAGUCGGUGGGGUAACGGCCUACCGCGGCUAUGACGCAUAACUGGUCUGAGAGGAUGAUCAGGCACAGUGGAACUGAGACACGGUCCAAACUCCGACGGGAGGCAGGAGUAGGGAAUAGUGCACCAUGGGAGAAACCCUGACGCAGAAACACCGCAUGGAGAAUGACACUUUUCGGAGCGUAAACUCCUUUUGUUAGGGAAGCGGUACCUAGCGAAUAAGCACCGGCUAACUCCGUGCCAGCAGCCGCGGUAAUAC
RNAcentral lists this ribosomal RNA (408 nucleotides) under uncultured bacterium. Its description in RNAcentral is "partial 16S ribosomal RNA". It matches the Rfam family "Bacterial small subunit ribosomal RNA", at positions 29 to 526 of the family's 1533-position model. The record is from RNAcentral.